This 995-nucleotide ribosomal RNA is filed under the name uncultured bacterium. RNAcentral's name for it is "bacterial SSU rRNA". It matches the Rfam family "Bacterial small subunit ribosomal RNA", at positions 355 to 1375 of the family's 1533-position model. The record is from RNAcentral.
UGGGGAAUAUUGCACAAUGGGGGAAACCCUGAUGCAGCGACGCCGCGUGGAGGAAGAAGGUCUUCGGAUUGUAAACUCCUGUUGUUGAGGAAGAUAAUGACGGUACUCAACAAGGAAGUGACGGCUAACUACGUGCCAGCAGCCGCGGUAAAACGUAGGUCACAAGCGUUGUCCGGAAUUACUGGGUGUAAAGGGAGCGCAGGCGGGAAGACAAGUUGGAAGUGAAAUCCAUGGGCUCAACCCAUGAACUGCUUUCAAAACUGUUUUUCUUGAGUAGUGCAGAGGUAGGCGGAAUUCCCGGUGUAGCGGUGGAAUGCGUAGAUAUCGGGAGGAACACCAGUGGCGAAGGCGGCCUACUGGGCACCAACUGACGCUGAGGCUCGAAAGUGUGGGUAGCAAACAGGAUUAGAUACCCUGGUAGUCCACACUGUAAACGAUGAUUACUAGGUGUUGGAGGAUUAACCCCUUCAGUGCCGCAGUUAACACAAUAAGUAAUCCACCUGGGGAGUACGACCGCAAGGUUGAAACUCAAAGGAAUUGACGGGGGCCCGCACAAGCAGUGGAGUAUGUGGUUUAAUUCGACGCAACGCGAAGAACCUUACCAAGUCUUGACAUCCUGCGACGGACAUAGAAAUAUGUUUUUCCUUCGGGACGCAGAGACAGGUGGUGCAUGGUUGUCGUCAGCUCGUGUCGUGAGAUGUUGGGUUAAGUCCCGCAACGAGCGCAACCCUUAUGGUCAGUUACUACGCAAGAGGACUCUGGCCAGACUGCCGUUGACAAAACGGAGGAAGGUGGGGAUGACGUCAAAUCAUCAUGCCCUUUAUGACUUGGGCUACACACGUACUACAAUGGCGUUAAACAAAGAGAAGCAAGACCGCGAGGUGGAGCAAAACUCAGAAACAACGUCCCAGUUCGGACUGCAGGCUGCAACUCGCCUGCACGAAGUCGGAAUUGCUAGUAAUCGCAGAUCAGCAUGCUGCGGUGAAUACGUUCCC